AUUGAACGCUGGCGGAAUGCUUUACACAUGCAAGUCGAGCGGCAGCGCGGCCUUCGGGCUGGCGGCGAGCGGCGAACGGGUGAGUAAUGCAUCGGAACAUGCCCAGUCGUGGGGGAUAACACUUCGAAAGAAGUGCUAAUACCGCAUACGUCCUGAGGGGGAAAGCGGGGGAUCGCAAGACCUCGCGCGAUUGGAGUGGCCGAUGUCAGAUUAGCUAGUUGGUGGGGUAAAGGCCUACCAAGGCGACGAUCUGUAGCUGGUCUGAGAGGAUGAUCAGCCACACUGGGGCUGAGACACGGCCCAGACUCCUACGGGAGGCAGCAGUGGGGAAUUUUGGACAAUGGGGGCAACCCUGAUCCAGCCAUUCCGCGUGAGUGAAGAAGGCCUUCGGGUUGUAAAGCUCUUUCGGCAGGAACGAAACGGUGGGCUCUAACAUAGUCCGCUAAUGACGGUACCUGAAGAAGAAGCACCGGCUAACUACGUG
RNAcentral lists this ribosomal RNA (484 nucleotides) under uncultured bacterium. RNAcentral describes it as "partial 16S ribosomal RNA". It matches the Rfam family "Bacterial small subunit ribosomal RNA", at positions 29 to 507 of the family's 1533-position model. The record is from RNAcentral.